This 505-nucleotide ribosomal RNA is filed under the name uncultured bacterium. RNAcentral describes it as "partial 16S ribosomal RNA". It matches the Rfam family "Bacterial small subunit ribosomal RNA", at positions 355 to 851 of the family's 1533-position model. The record is from RNAcentral.
UGGGGAAUAUUGGACAAUGGGGGCAACCCUGAUCCAGCCAUGCCGCGUGUGUGAAGAAGGCCUUUUGGUUGUAAAGCACUUUAAGCAGGGAGGAGAGGCUAAUGGUUAAUACCCAUUAGAUUAGACGUUACCUGCAGAAUAAGCACCGGCUAACUCUGUGCCAGCAGCCGCGGUAAUACAGAGGGUGCGAGCGUUAAUCGGAAUUACUGGGCGUAAAGCGAGUGUAGGUGGCUCAUUAAGUCACAUGUGAAAUCCCCGGGCUUAACCUGGGAACUGCAUGUGAUACUGGUGGUGCUAGAAUAUGUGAGAGGGAAGUAGAAUUCCAGGUGUAGCGGUGAAAUGCGUAGAGAUCUGGAAGGAAUACCGAUGGCGAAGGCAGCUUCCUGGCAUAAUAUUGACACUGAGAUUCGAAAAGCGUGGGUAGCAAAACAGGAUUAGAUACCCUGGUAGUCCANGCCGUAAAACGAUGUCUACUAGCNUGGGUCUUGAGACUUUAGUGGCGCAG